GUGAAAAAAUAUUGCCCUUUGGGUUGCUUUGAACUCCUGCAAAGUGUGAUAGACUUUAAAAGAAGUAGCCGUGUUGCUUCUGAAGGAAAAUGCCGGCAAUAAAAGGAAAGCAUCUCCAUAGACUGCAACGUUCUCCACAAAUUCUGUCUUCUUUUCAUUUAGUUUGUUGUAUUUCUGAGCUAUGAUACUUGGAUUAACCGUCACAAGGUUUGUUUUAUUGCCGACAUCUUUGCUAAUGCUUCCCAUUGUUGGAGGGAGGUUACACCGAAACACAAAGUCAGAACGAUCGAUUUCAGCUCCACAGCUGGAAUUUUUCAGAAUGCCUCCAUUUCCAACCACUGCACAGUUCUUGAAGGGAUAAACUGAAAGAGGAGAGGACACAGGCAGCAUUCUAAAAAUGUCUUCUGUAAUGAGGAUGGUCUUUUUACUGUCCACUUCAUAACUCAUGUUACUUCCCAGUGGGGUGUUGUUUUGAGAAGCAAUAAAAUUGUGAACUGCAUUACAGCAGGAAGC
Molecule: long non-coding RNA, 513 nt
Filed under: Gallus gallus (chicken)
Lineage: Eukaryota; Metazoa; Chordata; Aves; Galliformes; Phasianidae
Source: RNAcentral